GGGGGUAUAGCUCAGUGGUAGAGCACAUGCUUCUUGUGCAUGAGGUCCUGGGUUCAAUCCCCAGUACCUCCU
RNAcentral lists this transfer RNA (72 nucleotides) under Vicugna pacos (alpaca). RNAcentral's name for it is "tRNA-Lys (CTT) (tRNA-Lys-CTT-8-1)". It matches the Rfam family "tRNA". Rfam says of the family: Transfer RNA (tRNA) molecules are approximately 80 nucleotides in length. Their secondary structure includes four short double-helical elements and three loops (D, anti-codon, and T loops). Lineage: Eukaryota; Metazoa; Chordata; Mammalia; Artiodactyla; Camelidae. The record is from Rfam by way of RNAcentral.